RNAcentral lists this ribosomal RNA (351 nucleotides) under uncultured Candida. Its description in RNAcentral is "eukaryotic LSU rRNA". The stretch from base 1 to 73 matches the Rfam family "5.8S ribosomal RNA", at positions 83 to 154 of the family's 154-position model. The record is from RNAcentral. Lineage: Eukaryota; Fungi; Ascomycota; Saccharomycetes; Saccharomycetales.
UGUGAAUCAUCGAAUCUUUAGAACGCACAUUGCGCCCUAUGGUAUUCCAUAGGGCAUGCCUGUUUGAGCGUCAUUUCUCUCUCAAAUCUUCGGAUUUGGUUUUGAGUGAUACUCUUAGUCAGACUAAGCGUUUGCUUGAAAUGUAUUGGCAUGAGUGGUACUAGAUAGUGCUGAACUGUUUCAAUGUAUUAGGUUUAUCCAACUCGUUGACCAGUAUAGUAUUUGUUUAUUACACAGGCUCGGCCUUACAACAACAAACAAAGUUUGACCUCAAAUCAGGUAGGACUACCCGCUGAACUUAAGCUUAUCAAUAAGCGGAGGAAUCUGCUGAAAAACUAAGACAUCGUACCG